GCCUGGGUGCCUCAGUCGGUUGAGCGUCUGACUUCAGCUCAGGUCAUGAUCUCGCAGUUCGUGGGUUCAAGCCCCACGUUGGGCU
Felis catus (domestic cat) is the source of this 85-nucleotide non-coding RNA. The record is from Rfam. NCBI's taxonomy places the organism in Eukaryota, Metazoa, Chordata, Mammalia, Carnivora, Felidae.